RNAcentral lists this ribosomal RNA (253 nucleotides) under uncultured prokaryote. Its description in RNAcentral is "partial 16S ribosomal RNA". It matches the Rfam family "Bacterial small subunit ribosomal RNA", at positions 524 to 776 of the family's 1533-position model. The record is from RNAcentral.
UACGGAGGGUCCGGGCGUUAUCCGGAUUUAUUGGGUUUAAAGGGAGCGCAGGCGGCCUUUUAAGCGUGUUGUGAAAACCAGUCGCUCAACGACUGGCUUGCAGCGCGAACUGAAUGGCUUGAGUACGGACGAGGCAGGCGGAAUUCGUGGUGUAGCGGUGAAAUGCUUAGAUAUCACGAGGAACCCCGGUGGCGUAGGCAGCCUGCCGGGCCGUUACUGACGCUAAAGCGCGAAAGUGCGGGGAGCGAACAGG